Molecule: microRNA, 21 nt
Filed under: Pteropus alecto (black flying fox)
Lineage: Eukaryota; Metazoa; Chordata; Mammalia; Chiroptera; Pteropodidae
Description: pal-miR-208b-3p
Gene: pal-miR-208b-3p
Source: miRBase by way of RNAcentral
UAUAAGACGAACAAAAGGUUU